CAGCCGCCACGGUAAUACGUAGGGUGCGAGCGUUAAUCGGAAUUACUGGGCGUAAAGCGUGCGCAGGCGGUUAUAUAAGACAGAUGUGAAAUCCCCGGGCUCAACCUGGGACCUGCAUUUGUGACUGUAUAGCUAGAGUACGGUAGAGGGGGAUGGAAUUCCGCGUGUAGCAGUGAAAUGCGUAGAUAUGCGGAGGAACACCGAUGGCGAAGGCAAUCCCCUGGACCUGUACUGACGCUCAUGCACGAAAGCGUGGGGAGCAAACAGGAUUAGAUACCCCUGUAGUCUCUGUCUCUUAUAC
RNAcentral lists this ribosomal RNA (301 nucleotides) under uncultured bacterium. RNAcentral describes it as "partial 16S ribosomal RNA". It matches the Rfam family "Bacterial small subunit ribosomal RNA", at positions 509 to 807 of the family's 1533-position model. The record is from RNAcentral.